Meriones unguiculatus (Mongolian gerbil) is the source of this 1719-nucleotide long non-coding RNA. RefSeq lists it as uncharacterized. NCBI's taxonomy places the organism in Eukaryota, Metazoa, Chordata, Mammalia, Rodentia, Muridae. The transcript is spliced from 5 exons. The record is from RefSeq and is a predicted model, not a curated record.
GGCACAGUGUAAAAGCAGAGUCUCACAUCAAGGAGAGGAGCUCUCCCACAAACAGCUAUAUGUGGGCAGCGCAGACAAGCAGUGGCGUGGAGUUCUGCUCUGGAAUAGCAAUGAAGCACCGUGAAAGUUGAGGAGUUCAUUUCAGGAAGAGCAUGAACAUGCAGGUGCCUGGAAUGUAUGAAGAGUAAACUAGGGGUAUUAACAAACAUGAAAUAAUCAAGACUUGAAGAGGAGUGCUGCUUAAUGAUGCAUUUUAAGGAGAGCCACGCACCCUGUUCCUACACACAGACUGCAGCAAACAUCAGCCCAGCCACCCUUUCAGAUCCACUUCAAGGAAACACAGGCUUACAAACUGCUCCCCAUGGCUUUGUCUGAACAUGAUGCAGCACACACUGGGUCCACUGCUGGAGUCGGGAACCUGGAGAUGUACUGCCGCCUGGACUGGGUCAGACAGCCACAGAAUACCUGCUUCAAACCACCUUUCAUACCAUUCUGGUUGGAAAUAGAACCAUUGGAGGCUCAUCUUGUUAUCUUCCACAAAAGGAGAAACAAACCAAGACUUUGAGAAAGCCAGUGGCCAGCAGUCAGUUAACAAAACGUGUAGAGGAAGCCUCCCAGACAGUGUGCCCUGCUUGCCUGACAUCAACAGCAACUGAACCCAUCCCAGCGUCAGCUGCUCCUUAAUCAAUGCAACCCUCUGAAUUGGCGUGGACCAAGAUGUGCAUUGUCUUUCAAGUUAAUUGAGUGCUUACUAUGUAUGGCUCCCUGCACAAAGAUGGAAGAGAAAAUGGGUAGACAAAUAAGGUGCAGGGCUUGCCUUCAGUGAAGCUACAAUUAGUUUCAGGAUGCAUUAUUUUUUCUUCUGUUCCUAAUUAACAUUUUCUCUAAUUCAAGAAACAAAUGAAUGGAAAAGUAUAUUCUGUAAGUAUUUUAAGCUUCAUUAAUGAGGAACAAAAUAGAACAUAACACAACAGCAAAACAAUCUGGGAAAUUCAUGACAUUUUAAUCCUUUAUUGUUUUAUUAUUUUACAAUGCUGAAGUAAAAUUUAUUUUAUUUAUUCCCUAAAUAGUCAGUAAACUUUAGAGACACAAUGCUUUGAGUUAAUUUAAGUUCAAUUUUACUUUUUCCCGUAGGUGUAGGUUGUCUGCUGGAAGACUCAUAUAAUUACACAUUUCUUGCGAGGUGUCUACAGCCAUCUACAUGCUAUGUACUCAGGACAGCAUUCUGAGUGAGAUACCAGUGAGGAGAAAGGGAGAUCUAGAUAACAUUUGGGGGUUGGGAACUCAUAGAUCUAAGACUAGACAGAAAGCAGCAAAACAUCUAGCAAAGAAUCUUAACAAUCUCGCUGAGCAAUUUUAAAAGUAUUCAUCUGCUGUCUCCAUAGCUUGAAUAACUAUACAGUUUACUAAAAAUUUAUAUUUGUCUUGAGGGUAAGUCAUUGCUUUUCCAAUGCUAAGAUGCUGAUAUGAUUAGAGACACUGGACAUCUUAUGUAGAGUCUGUGACCUAUUCAAUAUGGAUGAGCCAAUAACAGCCAUCUUUGUCUUGAGUAAUAUCAAUGUAAUUGAAAAUGUGCAAAUGCUUUUUAAAACAUCAUCAACAGACUUCUUAAUUAAGCUGCCAAUACAACCUGUCAAUAACACUAUGUGCUGUUUGAGAAAUGAUUAGUGUUGCUUGAUCCUUCUUAAAUAAACAAUGCUGCCCUAUAUGAUGAGUUUC